GGAGUCAAUACCGAGGAAGCACCCCUGGAAAGUACUGAGCACCCACGUGUGCCAGACUACCAGUAGGCUACAUUCAUUUAAAUUAAACAUUGCAGUUGGUGCUAAGUGGAGCGUCUGUCAUAGUGUGAUUGGUUAUUUUGCUGUCAGUCCCCUGCUCCACUGAUUCUUAAUUUCCCACAAAGCUGAUCACGGUUACGUGUCAGUUGAACUUCUCAUCUCCAAUUCUAUCUGUAUUUGUGAGAAGUGGCGCUGUACUGAGAUGAUAGCCUACUUUA
This is a long non-coding RNA of Etheostoma cragini (Arkansas darter), 275 nucleotides long. RefSeq lists it as uncharacterized. The record is from RefSeq and is a predicted model, not a curated record. The transcript has 3 exons. Lineage: Eukaryota; Metazoa; Chordata; Actinopteri; Perciformes; Percidae.